CCUACGGGGGGCUGCAGUGAGGAAUAUUGGUCAAUGGGCGCGAGCCUGAACCAGCCAAGUCGCGUGAGGGAAGACGGUCCUAUGGAUUGUAAACCUCUUUUGUCGGGGAGCAAAAGACGCCACGCGUGGCGUUCCGAGAGUACCCGAAGAAAAAGCAUCGGCUAACUCCGUGCCAGCAGCCGCGGUAAUACGGGGGAUGCGAGCGUUAUCCGGAUUUAUUGGGUUUAAAGGGUGCGCAGGCGGAAGAUCAAGUCAGCGGGAAAAUUGAGAGGCUCAACCUCUUCGAGCCGUUGAAACUGGUUUUCUUGAGUGAGCGAGAAGUAUGCGGAAUGCGUGGUGUAGCGGUGAAAUGCAUAGAUAUCACGCAGAACUCCGAUUGCGAAGGCAGCAUACCGGCGCUCAACUGACGCUCAUGCACGAAAGUGUGGGUAUCGAACAGGAUUAGAUACCCGAGUAGUC
RNAcentral lists this ribosomal RNA (459 nucleotides) under uncultured bacterium. Its description in RNAcentral is "partial 16S ribosomal RNA". It matches the Rfam family "Bacterial small subunit ribosomal RNA", at positions 338 to 795 of the family's 1533-position model. The record is from RNAcentral.